This 253-nucleotide ribosomal RNA is filed under the name uncultured bacterium. Its description in RNAcentral is "partial 16S ribosomal RNA". It matches the Rfam family "Bacterial small subunit ribosomal RNA", at positions 524 to 776 of the family's 1533-position model. The record is from RNAcentral.
UACGUAGGUGGCGAGCGUUGUCCGGAUUUACUGGGCGUAAAGGGAGCGUAGGCGGACUUUUAAGUGAGAUGUGAAAUACUCGGGCUCAACUUGAGUGCUGCAUUUCAAACUGGAAGUCUAGAGUGCAGGAGAGGAGAAUGGAAUUCCUAGUGUAGCGGUGAAAUGCGUAGAGAUUAGGAAGAACACCAGUGGCGAAGGCGAUUCUCUGGAGUGUAACUGACGCUGAGGCUCGAAAGCGUGGGGAGCAAACAGG